This is a long non-coding RNA of Chenopodium quinoa (quinoa), 516 nucleotides long. RefSeq lists it as uncharacterized. The record is from RefSeq and is a predicted model, not a curated record. NCBI's taxonomy places the organism in Eukaryota, Viridiplantae, Streptophyta, Magnoliopsida, Caryophyllales, Amaranthaceae. The transcript is spliced from 3 exons.
AAAAUUCUGUACCCGGAACCUGUAGGGUACCCUGUUAGAACAGGUUCCGGUUCCGGGUACCCUGUUACCCUAUAAGGUACCCGAAACCUGUAAUUGAAGCCCAAAUAUGCAAGCCCAAUAUCAAAAUUACAAAUAUAAGUAAGCCUAAAAGUAAACAAAAACCCUAAGCACAUUCUCAUUUCUCAUUUUCAUCAGCCGUCAUCUACUACAAAACCCUCCUAUAUUGGCAUUAUAAAUGGAUAGUGAAAGCAAAGAAGAUGGAGCUUCAAGCAAGAGAACAACAAGCAAAAAGGCUGGUGAUAAGUGAAAGUCAGAGGUUUGGCACCAUUAUUGGGAUGUAAGAGAUCUAGAAACGGGUAUCAAAAAUUUUACUUCCUGGGCUAUCAAGAUUUAAGAUGCAAGUAUGAGAUUGUGUAAUAAUAUUUGUAUUUUUAUCAUAUAAGUUAAGUAUUUGUAUUAAAUGUACUAGACAGUAGACAUUAGUGUUGGAUUGUUAUUCGUAAGCUUUUAAUUUAU